AGGGCAGUAGCUCCAAUUGGUAGAGCGGCUGAUUCCAAAUCAGCAUGUUGGGGGUUCGAGUCCUCCCUGCCCUGCCA
Molecule: transfer RNA, 77 nt
Filed under: Planctomycetota bacterium
Lineage: Bacteria; Pseudomonadati; Planctomycetota
Description: Planctomycetes bacterium (marine metagenome) tRNA-Trp
Rfam family: tRNA
About the family: Transfer RNA (tRNA) molecules are approximately 80 nucleotides in length. Their secondary structure includes four short double-helical elements and three loops (D, anti-codon, and T loops). Further hydrogen bonds mediate the characteristic L-shaped molecular structure. tRNAs have two regions of fundamental functional importance: the anti-codon, which is responsible for specific mRNA codon recognition, and the 3' end, to which the tRNAs corresponding amino acid is attached (by aminoacyl-tRNA synthetases). tRNAs cope with the degeneracy of the genetic code in two manners: having more than one tRNA (with a specific anti-codon) for a particular amino acid; and 'wobble' base-pairing, i.e. permitting non-standard base-pairing at the 3rd anti-codon position.
Source: RNAcentral